Non-coding RNA from Lupinus albus (white lupine), 978 nucleotides. The record is from the annotation of a GenBank genome assembly. Lineage: Eukaryota; Viridiplantae; Streptophyta; Magnoliopsida; Fabales; Fabaceae.
UUAUUUUCCAAGAAUGUAAUACCAUAAUUUUCUAAUUUGCGAGCUACUACUUAAUUUUGUUUACUAGUUAUUGUACUUACCUUUUAGAAGUUGUGAUGAUGUAUGACGACUUCAGUUUAGAGGUCGGUAUGGGAGAAUACAACUUCCAGUGAAUCUGAAGUUGGCAUGGCUCAUAACGACUUCAGUUUAGAAGUCGGUAUGCCAAAAUACAACUUCUGGUGAGUCUGAAGUUGGUCAGGAUCAUAACGACUUCAGUUUAGAAGUCGGUUUGUCAGUGUACAACUUCUGGUGAGUCUGAAGUUGGUCUAACCCAUAACGACUUCUAUGUAAAAGUCGGUUUGCUAGAGUACAACUUCUGGUGUCUAGACUGAAACUGACUUUAGUGUUAGUGUUGAAAGUUAAGAUGGCUCAUAACGACUUGUGUAUUUGUGAUAGAAAUUAUUAACCUUAAAAUGUGAAUCACCUUCCCGUUAAGUUGAGUUUGGCAUACUGUGAGCAAUAUAUGCUUCUUGGAAGGAUAACGUAUUGAAGUAUCCCUGAGAUGGAAGAAGAAUUCAACAACAAUGAUGAAAACUACUACCAUGAAGAUGUAGAUAAAUUUGAUAUUAGUGAAGAUAAAAAUAUGAAUGAAAUAGAGAAUUUUGGUUUUGAAGAAAUUGAUUUUUGAUUAUUAAACGAAGAUGAAGUGAAAAAGCUUAGGUCUUUAAAAAAAUGAUGUUGCAUACAAAUUUUAUAAGAUGUAUAAUAUAAAGAAAGGAUUUGGCAUGAGAAAAUAUCAUACCCGUCGGGACAAAGAUUGUGAAAUUAUAUGGCAAUUAUUUUUCUUUGAUAGAAAAUGAUUUAGAGAUAAAAAAAAUGAUUUGGUGUGGAAGAGGGCGCCCAGAAAAAGGAGAUUCAUAUGUUAGUUAUUUUGCUGAUAAACAUAGCCAUGAACUGCUUGAUGAACAUUAUUAUGGUGGGAUGAUAAUUUCUAACUGA